RNAcentral lists this ribosomal RNA (348 nucleotides) under Mischocyttarus lemoulti. RNAcentral describes it as "partial 12S ribosomal RNA". Lineage: Eukaryota; Metazoa; Arthropoda; Insecta; Hymenoptera; Vespidae. The record is from RNAcentral.
UUUAAAUAAUCGAUUAAUUUUUAAUUAUAUAAGGUAUUAAAUGGUAAAUCAUUAAAUUAAGAAAAUUUGGCGGUAUUUUUAAAAAUUAGAGGAAUUUGUGGUGUAAAUGAUAAAACACGAUAAGAUAAACUUUAUUUAAUAUUUAUGUAUUGCUGUUUAAUUAAAUUUAUUGAGUAAAUUUUUUAAUAUUUAAUUUUGAAAAUAAUUCAAGUCAAAAUGUAGUGUUAUGAAGAAUUUUAUGAAUUACAAUUUUUUAUAUAUUUGAUUUUAUUUUUUAAAUUUUAAUUAAAAUUGGAUUUAAAAGUAAAAUAGAUUAAUUAAUUUAUUUGAAUAUUUUUAAAAAUAAGU